UCGCACAGUAUAACUUGACUACUUGCAUUGCAUACUUCUUGAAGCACAGGUCUUCUUGCUGUUUGAAUUUCUCUCCAUAAAGGAGAUAUAAAACGACAAGGAAUAACUAGAAAGGAAAUUGAUCUUCUUAGUGAUAGCAAAAUAAGAAUCUUCUAUGGAAAAGUUAAAAAGCAAUUAUUUUGUUGCUAUUCCUUAUAGUUUUCUGAAAUAUGCAUACACAAUUAUCCAAACCAAACAGAAUCUGAACCAUUUAUGAAGACACCUGCAAACCCAAACACUGUAAAAAAUUGCAAUGAAGCAAGGAGAACCAAUACAGUCAUAUUUGGAGUACACUCCAUGGAUAGUCCAAAUCAAUAUGAAAACUAUUUUAGGAGCUAUAAAAUAGCUCUUUUUCACUCAGUGUUGCUUCUAACAAUAAACAGAAAUACUUUUAGCUCACACUGGCAUGUAAAAUUGGGAUAUAAUGACAACUUCAGAUUAAAAGAUAAUUCAUCAGUUUGGUCAGGUUGUUUUAGUAGAGAACAUGGUUCAUUUUUUUAACCAUUCUAGGGGCUGAAGUAAUAUAACUGCUAUUUUCCUUUACAUAUUAAUGCAACUCAGACUAUGUAUCCACACAUUUCUCACUAUUUCCCUAUAAAAAUCAAAAUAAACCUAGGCAUAGUUAUUCAGCAGGGAUCGUACACAUACAAAGAUCUUGCUACAGUGUUUACUGAACAUGCUCCUAUGUUAAUGCUUAUUAAAAAUGUGAAUCAAUGUGAAUGUAUGGUAUUUUUGCUGGCUUGUCUUGAGGAUUUCAUUAAAAAAUGCUCAACUCUUUCUGUUAUAGUGACUUAUUUCAUGCAGCCAGUAUAAACUGAACAUGUCCCCAGAAAAGAGGUAGAAUGUCAAAUGCGAUUAGAAACUCAAGAGCUGAUUCCAAGAUUGAUUCCAAAUAAGGUUAACGCUCAUGAGUAACAACGUAAUCAUAUCCUAUCAGCAUGUCUUUGAACUGACACAAAGCCUUUCAUUUAGGAGCCAUUCAUUAACCCAAAUAUUGAGGGAAAACAAUCUGAAACAACCAAGAAAAAUAAAAAUCAGAAAAGUAAGUAAGCGGUUCUGG
RNAcentral lists this long non-coding RNA (1099 nucleotides) under Homo sapiens (human). RNAcentral's name for it is "non-protein coding lnc-DCUN1D1-10:1". Lineage: Eukaryota; Metazoa; Chordata; Mammalia; Primates; Hominidae. The record is from RNAcentral.